CCUACGGGAGGCAGCAGUCGAGAAUCAUUCACAAUGGGGGAAACCCUGAUGGUGCGACGCCGCGUGGGGGACUGAAGGUCUUCGGAUUGUAAACCCCUGUCAUGUGGGAGCAAAUUAAAAAGAUAGUACCACAAGAGGAAGAGACGGCUAACUCUGUGCCAGCAGCCGCGGUAAUACAGAGGUCGCAAGCGUUGUUCGGAAUCACUGGGCGUAACGCGUGCGUAGGCUGUUGCGUAAGUCGUGUGUGAAAGGCGCGGGCUCAACCCGCGGACGGCACAUGAUACUGCGAGACUAGAGUAAUGGAGGGGGAACCGGAAGUCUCGGUGUAGCAGUGAAAUGCGUAGAUAUCGGGAGGAACACUGGUGGCGAAGGCGGGUUCCUGGACAUUAACUGACGCUGAGGCACGAAGGCCAGGGGAGCGAAAGGGAUUAGAUACCCUUGUAGUC
RNAcentral lists this ribosomal RNA (446 nucleotides) under uncultured bacterium. Its description in RNAcentral is "partial 16S ribosomal RNA". It matches the Rfam family "Bacterial small subunit ribosomal RNA", at positions 338 to 795 of the family's 1533-position model. The record is from RNAcentral.